RNAcentral lists this ribosomal RNA (1331 nucleotides) under uncultured bacterium. Its description in RNAcentral is "bacterial SSU rRNA". It matches the Rfam family "Bacterial small subunit ribosomal RNA", at positions 48 to 1400 of the family's 1533-position model. The record is from RNAcentral.
CUAACACAUGCAAGUCGAACGAGCGAGAGAGAGCUUGCUUUCUCGAGCGAGUGGCGAACGGGUGAGUAACGCGUGAGGAACCUGCCUCAAAGAGGGGGACAACAGUUGGAAACGACUGCUAAUACCGCAUAAGCCCACGGUGCCGCAUGGCACAGAGGGAAAAGGAGCAAUCCGCUUUGAGAUGGCCUCGCGUCCGAUUAGCUAGUUGGUGAGGUAAUGGCCCACCAAGGCGACGAUCGGUAGCCGGACUGAGAGGUUGAACGGCCACAUUGGGACUGAGACACGGCCCAGACUCCUACGGGAGGCAGCAGUGGGGAAUAUUGCACAAUGGGGGAAACCCUGAUGCAGCGACGCCGCGUGGAGGAAGAAGGUCUUCGGAUUGUAAACUCCUGUUGUUGGGGAAGAUAAUGACGGUACCCAACAAGGAAGUGACGGCUAACUACGUGCCAGCAGCCGCGGUAAAACGUAGGUCACAAGCGUUGUCCGGAAUUACUGGGUGUAAAGGGAGCGCAGGCGGGAAGACAAGUUGGAAGUGAAAUCUAUGGGCUCAACCCAUAAACUGCUUUCAAAACUGUUUUUCUUGAGUAGUGCAGAGGUAGGCGGAAUUCCCGGUGUAGCGGUGGAAUGCGUAGAUAUCGGGAGGAACACCAGUGGCGAAGGCGGCCUACUGGGCACCAACUGACGCUGAGGCUCGAAAGUGUGGGUAGCAAACAGGAUUAGAUACCCUGGUAGUCCACACCGUAAACGAUGAUUACUAGGUGUUGGAGGAUUGACCCCUUCAGUGCCGCAGUUAACACAAUAAGUAAUCCACCUGGGGAGUACGACCGCAAGGUUGAAACUCAAAGGAAUUGACGGGGGCCCGCACAAGCAGUGGAGUAUGUGGUUUAAUUCGACGCAACGCGAAGAACCUUACCAAGUCUUGACAUCCCUUGACAGACAUAGAAAUAUGUAAUCUCUUCGGAGCAAGGAGACAGGUGGUGCAUGGUUGUCGUCAGCUCGUGUCGUGAGAUGUUGGGUUAAGUCCCGCAACGAGCGCAACCCUUAUGGUCAGUUACUACGCAAGAGGACUCUGGCCAGACUGCCGUUGACAAAACGGAGGAAGGUGGGGAUGACGUCAAAUCAUCAUGCCCUUUAUGACUUGGGCUACACACGUACUACAAUGGCGUUAAACAAAGAGAAGCAAGACCGCGAGGUGGAGCAAAACUCAGAAACAACGUCCCAGUUCGGACUGCAGGCUGCAACUCGCCUGCACGAAGUCGGAAUUGCUAGUAAUCGUGGAUCAGCAUGCCACGGUGAAUACGUUCCCGGGCCUUGUACACACCGCCCGUCAA